AUUGUAACUGCCAUUAUAUAUUCCAUUUAUCACCUCCCUGUCUCUGCAAUAAUUCCCAAAAACACCCAUAAACCCAUCCUUUAGUAUUCGCAAUUUAUUGGUAUGAUUUAUUUAUAUAUGCAUUGCGUAGGAUCUAUUUAAAGAUAGAAGUGAUCUAUAUUAUGACCUAUUUAAAAGAAGAAGUGCUUCAAAUAGAGAUUUUCUUAAUUCUCAUGACUCGAAUCUAAAACAUCAUUAAUUAGCGAGGGAGAAAUUCUACUUAUUCUAUCACAUCCCGUAGUGUUAGUGAAACUUAUGAAUAGGCCGGAAGAUGUAGAAAAAUUUAGGGUAUAUUUGGUAUAACGGUAAAAAAAUAUUUUCUUGAAAAAUAAGUAAUAAUCUUAGUCAAUUUCGAUUUUUGGUAGGACAAUUAAGGAAAAUGACUUCUCAAGAGUAAUCAUAAAUAAUUUACAUCACACCUCCUUCUUCAUACACUCCCGGAAGGGGUGUAUUAAGGGAGUUUUUCCAAUUAAAGGAGAACCGAAACGAGAUUAUAUUUAUUAAAAAUUCUGAGUCGCCACUUGGAAGAUUUAUGGUGUCCCAAAUCACCGAUUUAAAUCCCGAAUCGAGAAAAGGAUUGACCCUGUAUUACAGCACGCGAAUCAGAAAUUCGGGUAAGAAAUUCUGUUAAUCCGGGAGAAGGUGUUAGGCAUUCCCGAGUUCCGUGUAUCUAGCACGGUCUCUCAACUGUAAUAGUUGGCAUAAUUAUCUGAUUUUGAAAACAUUUUGAACCUAUGUGCAAUUUUACUUUUUAACCGCUUUUAAUCAUUUUAAGAAAAAUUACAAUGUCAUUUAAAAUACGUCUUGAACCACGUCAUAUGAAUGCACCUGCAGCUCUCGACAAAUUUUAUCUAACAUUGUUGAGAUUUGAAUUUGGGUCACAUAAAUGCGCAUCCAAAUUUAGGAAAGUAAUUUUUAAAUAGUGCACCUAAUGCAAUUACACAUUUUAAAUUUGCGAGGGCCAUGAAAAAUUUAACCAAAUAGUAUACCUCGAAUUAUUCUAAAAGAUUGCACUUGAGUAAAGCAAAUUUCGAAUGUUCAUAUUUAAUGAUCAACUAAAAAAAGAAAACAAAAUAUUUUGAUCUAAACCUAGAGCUAUUAAACAAGUACCUCUACAGUGGCUGCGAUCCAAUUCCAUGGUUCAAAAUUCUUUCUUGAGUCCAAUUAAAUCUACCCAGCAAAUUACGUUAAGAACUCUUAGCUAAUAUUUACAUGUGACUUUUAAAAGAGAACAACAUAAAACACAUGGGAACAACUUUUGAUUAAUCAAGAGAGAUUAAAAAAAAACCUUCCAACAUGCUGAAUUCAGGAGAAACGCAACGAGAAUUCAAAAACCAGAAACAAGCCGAGCUAAUAUUUCAACGAGAAUGUAAAACCAGAUAAUCAAAACCAACAAAAAUUAUGAUGAAUUAUUAGUUUCAAUCCAAUCAUAACCGAAAAAUAUCACAAUAAAAAGUAACAUAGGUAUCAGAAUGGACCUUCUUUAGAGAGCUUCAAACAAAUUUAAUUAAAAUGCCAUUAGAGUAUACACCAACGGAACAUGGACUCGGAUCAAAAACCUCCAACGAAAAAGGAAAUUCGAACAUGGACUAUCGUCGACUUCGACGCUCACCGAAAAACUCAAACUAAACCAGAAAAUGGACCCAACAGCCUCCAUAAUAGUAGCUCAUGAUUUUGGAGUUGUUUCGGGCUGUUUCACGUUGCUUUGAUGGCGAAAAUGGUGAGCUUACACAACUGGUUUUGAAGCUAUUUUCAUGGCUGGUUUUGCUGCCUUUUUGGCUGGAGUUCAGAAGUGAUUCAAACUUGAAUGAAGGGGUCGUUUGGGUUCAAGGAAGAUGAUCAUUGGGGAAGGGUCAGUGGUGUUCAAACGGCUGAAGCAAAACUUGAAGGGCAGGCCAUUAUUUUUGGUUUCUCUGUUCAAACGUUGAAGAAGAAGACAUAAUAAAGGGCUCUGUAUUGUGUAUUGCGGCCGUUCUCCUUUUCUUAGUCUAGGUCUAC
This 2037-nucleotide long non-coding RNA is filed under the name Nicotiana benthamiana. RNAcentral's name for it is "long non-coding RNA (NBEN_LNC004483)". Lineage: Eukaryota; Viridiplantae; Streptophyta; Magnoliopsida; Solanales; Solanaceae. The record is from RNAcentral.